Molecule: long non-coding RNA, 1068 nt
Filed under: Marmota monax (woodchuck)
Lineage: Eukaryota; Metazoa; Chordata; Mammalia; Rodentia; Sciuridae
Source: RNAcentral
AGGAUACACUUCCUUACCCUCUCUCCCUGCAGUCCUUUCUCAGCAGUUUCCUUCUUCCCACAGGUUCUAAGUGCUGAAGGAACCAGUCCAGAGAUCCUCCUGAAGAGAGGAAGCCUCUUUCUUUUUCAUUACCCUGUCUCUUCCCUUUACUCUCCUCAAAGCCUGAAUUUAACUCAAUCCCUGGGAACCUUAGUCCCUGGUUCCUGAAUUUUCUCACAGGGAAGCAGGAUUUCUUGCAGGGGAGGAUGACAAUGAAGAGUUCAGGAAGAGAAUUGACAGACAGAACCACAGGACCUUUUAAGUGAUCUAAGAACUUUCUAGUCCUAUCUGGUUUGACUGAAUGUUUGUGGAGGAAGAGAACCUGAGAAUACUGCCCCAGGUGUAUCUUUGAAUGCAGAAGAAAGUGACCCUGAAAAGACAACUUAAUAUCAUCCAAUCUUGUCCUUUUUCUGCCCUUCUUGCUGAAACAAGUUAGGUAACAUUCUUGACAAUUAAGGAGCCAAAUUAUCCUGUGUGAAUGUUACAGUGGCCAUGGAUUGUGUGUUUUCUUGGCUAACCGAACAAAUAAAGGUAAGAAACUUGUUGGGAAGAAAGAUGGCAUCUUCCAAUAUUCCUGAAAAGAGAUGAGAACAAUUAUUUAGAUAAUACCAAGUGGUAAUGAUAAAUUCCUUCUUAAGAUUGGGAGCCAUCUUGCACAAAGGCAUGAAAAGCUAAUUUCGGCUUUACUAUAAAUUACUGCGAUUUCUAAACUUGCUUGGAAUGCCUGCCCGUUCCUUGAACUCACCGGAGCCUGGCUUUCCCUGACCAGAUAACAACUCUCUCUGAAGCUCUAAUGGCCCCCAUAAAUUCUGAUGUUGGGGCCAGCUAAAAUAUUAACUAGCCUUUGUGUUAUGCUUGUCAAAAUUUUGUUAUUUGUAAGUUCUCAAACCCCCCUUUGUGUAACUUUCUGUGUUAUAAAGCUGUGCUCCUUAGAAAGCUGCGGGGCUAUCUUCUGUUCCCACGGUUUUUGGGAGAGACAGCCCGGCCAGUCAAAAAUUAUAAGCUUGCUUUAAUUUUAUUUAAAUUAGA